RNAcentral lists this ribosomal RNA (423 nucleotides) under uncultured archaeon. RNAcentral describes it as "partial 16S ribosomal RNA". It matches the Rfam family "Archaeal small subunit ribosomal RNA", at positions 323 to 746 of the family's 1478-position model. The record is from RNAcentral.
CUACGGGUGGCACCAGGCGCGAAAACUUUACAAUGCCGGCAACGGCGAUAAGGGAACCUCGAGUGCCAGGUUACAAAUCUGGCUGUCGUGAUGCCUAAAAAGCAUUGCAUAGCAAGGGCCGGGCAAGACCGGUGCCAGCCGCCGCGGUAACACCGGCGGCUCGAGUGGUAACCGUUAUUAUUGGGUCUAAAGGGUCUGUAGCCGGCCGGAUAAGUCUCUUGAGAAAUCCAGCAGCUCAACUGUUGGGCUUUCAGGAGAUACUGUCCGGCUCGAGGCCGGGAGAGGUGAGAGGUACUUCAGGGGUAGGGGUGAAAUCUUGUAAUCCUUGAAGGACCACCAGUGGCGAAGGCGUCUCACCAGAACGGACCUGACGGCAAGGGACGAAAGCUAGGGGCACGAACCGGAUUAGAUACCCCGGUAGUC